Molecule: long non-coding RNA, 463 nt
Organism: Crotalus tigris (Tiger rattlesnake)
Lineage: Eukaryota; Metazoa; Chordata; Lepidosauria; Squamata; Viperidae
Exons: 3
Source: RefSeq, a predicted model, not a curated record
UGUUACCUUGCUGGAAUGGAAGGUGUGGCAUGCAUUAAUGCUUGGCAACAUAUAUGCAACAAGAAGCCUGAAAGGGUGCAAGACGAUCUGAUACAAUGGGUCCUCUAACAAUAGGGGCGGAAGUGGAAUUAGUGACCUGCAGUUGGACAGCCCUAAGACCAGACCUGAAAGCGUUGGAUGAAACCCCUCAAGACUUAAAAACUACAGUAUCCAAUGUGACAAAAGCAAGAAAAUGAUUAACCCUACAAUUUCAAUAAACUCAGAGCCCAAACUUGCUUCAGCAGAUAGUGGAGCCAUAGCGAUAUGGACGGAUCUCGGAAGACACACUAAUAUAUCCGCACCGACCAUGGUCCCUACGCCGAACAGACAAACAGCAACAGCAAUGAAAUGGAUUAAUUUAUAUCUUGCACGGAGAAUGAACCAUGAUAAAGCCAUCAGUACAGGGAUCCCAAAACAGUCCAGG